CUAAGCAUGAAGCCCCCCUCAAGAUGAGAUUUCCCAUUUGAGCUCCCUGAAAGAUGAUCAGGUUGAUAGGUCUGAGGUGGAAGCGUGGCGACACGCGAAGCUGACAGAUACUAAUCGAGCAAGCACUUAACCAAA
This 135-nucleotide ribosomal RNA is filed under the name Bacillus aquiflavi. RNAcentral's name for it is "partial 23S ribosomal RNA". It matches the Rfam family "Bacterial large subunit ribosomal RNA", at positions 2781 to 2925 of the family's 2925-position model. Lineage: Bacteria; Bacillati; Bacillota; Bacilli; Caryophanales; Bacillaceae. The record is from RNAcentral.